This 468-nucleotide ribosomal RNA is filed under the name uncultured bacterium. Its description in RNAcentral is "partial 16S ribosomal RNA". It matches the Rfam family "Bacterial small subunit ribosomal RNA", at positions 28 to 507 of the family's 1533-position model. The record is from RNAcentral.
GACGAACGCUGGCGGCGUGCUUAACACAUGCAAGUCGAACGGAAAGGCCCUGCUUUUGUGUGGUGCUCGAGUGGCGAACGGGUGAGUAACACGUGAGUAACCUGCCCUUGACUUUGGGAUAACUUCAGGAAACUGGGUCUAAUACCGGAUAGGAGCUCCUGCUGCAUGUUGAGGGUUGGAAAGUUUCGGCGGUUGGGGAUGGACUCGCGGCUUAUCAGCUUGUUGGUGGGGUAGUGGCUUACCAAGGCUUUGACGGGUAGCCGGCCUGAGAGGGUGACCGGCCACAUUGGGACUGAGAUACGGCCCAGACUCCUACGGGAGGCAGCAGUGGGGAAUAUUGCACAAUGGGCGGAAGCCUGAUGCAGCAACGCCGCGUGCGGGAUGACGGCCUUCGGGUUGUAAACCGCUUUCGCCUGUGACGAAGCGUGAGUGACGGUAAUGGGUAAAGAAGCACCGGCUAACUACGUG